RNAcentral lists this ribosomal RNA (484 nucleotides) under uncultured bacterium. RNAcentral describes it as "partial 16S ribosomal RNA". It matches the Rfam family "Bacterial small subunit ribosomal RNA", at positions 30 to 507 of the family's 1533-position model. The record is from RNAcentral.
AUUGAACGCUGGCGGCAGGCCUAACACAUGCCAGUCGAGCGGAUGAAGGGAGCUUGCUCCUGGAUUCAGCGGCGGACGGGUGAGUAAUGCCUAGGAAUCUGCCUGGUAGUGGGGGAUAACGUCCGGAAACGGGCGCUAAUACCGCAUACGUCCUGAGGGAGAAAGUGGGGGAUCUUCGGACCUCACGCUAUCAGAUGAGCCUAGGUCGGAUUAGCUAGUUGGUGGGGUAAAGGCCUACCAAGGCGACGAUCCGUAACUGGUCUGAGAGGAUGAUCAGUCACACUGGAACUGAGACACGGUCCAGACUCCUACGGGAGGCAGCAGUGGGGAAUAUUGGACAAUGGGCGAAAGCCUGAUCCAGCCAUGCCGCGUGUGUGAAGAAGGUCUUCGGAUUGUAAAGCACUUUAAGUUGGCAGGAAGGGCAGUAAGUUAAUACCUUGCUGUUUUGACGUUACCAACAGAAUAAGCACCGGCUAACUUCGUG